CACAGCUUCUUGUGGAAAAUAAAUCCCUUGGUAGUGUUUGUGUUUCUUGUAUGUGUGUGGGACUAUUUGGCUCAAAGCAAGUUCAAGCCAAAUCAAGAGUUCCAGUGUGUGCUGAACCUAAGCAGCCUUUACCUUGAACAUAAAGAACAUGGUCCAUCGGUUCGCCUGGCCUUCCCAGCGUUUCACCAGUGAUGCAUGCCGAAAUCCAUCACACAGGAAUGCGUCACUUCAUUUGACAUGGAUCCUUGCCCAGAAACUUGGAUUGUGUUUUUGUCACUUCUAUCUCCAUUCUAACGGGACAAGAACAACAGAAGACAGAUCACCUGCAUGACAUUUCGCUUAACCUUUGGGAAGAUGAAGAGAGUGUUGAUGUGGUAAGAAUGCGCACACGAAGAUAUACCAAUAUGAGUUUUCAGUAUAAUAAUUAAAGCAUUUGUUUAGAGGGAAAGUUAGAUAACUUAUAGACUGAGGAGUUAUUAUACCACACAACUAUUGUAAAAUUUAAAAAGGUAGCUGAAUCAGUAAU
RNAcentral lists this long non-coding RNA (526 nucleotides) under Vulpes vulpes (red fox). RNAcentral's name for it is "lncRNA (ENSVVUG00000019624.1)". The record is from RNAcentral. Lineage: Eukaryota; Metazoa; Chordata; Mammalia; Carnivora; Canidae.